GUAUCUUUCUCUGUUGUAGGUAACUCUGGCUAUUCUGAAGCUCUUUAAUUCGCCAUUAUUUUAUAAAACGCAGAAAAGUAAAAGAAUUUUAAUCAUUUAAUUUUAAUGAAAAUUGUUAAAAUUUAUGAAAAAGUUUUUCCACAAGUGCGUGCAACAUUUUUCAAAAGGUAUUCUGCCAAGAAUUGCCGGAUUUCUAACUAAAAAAAUCAAUUGAAAAAAUUUUGUGUGUGUGUCUCUCUCCUAGUAAGAAAAAGAAAGAAAAAAAAAACGAAACGAAAAAAAGAGUGUAGUGAAAAAAUGCGAAUAUAUUUCAGCAUUAAAAGGCUGGAUUUUGCAAAAAGGAAAUAAAAAAUAUUGAAAACUAAAUAUAUAAAAAUUGUAUUAAUAAAUAAUCUGUUGAAAAAAAAUAAAUUGCAAAAUUAAAAAGGAACCUUUAAAAGUAAAAAAAAAAUAGAAAAAAUAAAAACAAUUAUCUAUACGGCUGACCUAAGGUGUCAAUUCUAUUCGUGAAAAUCUUAUUCAUAAUUUUUUUUAUUCUUUUCCCCUUCGUCACAAUUGAAUAGAUGUAUCAAUCAUCCAUGAAUUAAAAAAAGAAAAACACCAAAUCUCAAAUAUUUUACUUUUAUUGCGAUAAUUUUUGAGUGUGUGCAGCAAUUUGCUCCAACAAAUCAAAUAUACAACCUGAUUUGAAAAGAAAUAAUUGAAUUAUUUAAUAAUAAUAAAUUCCUUUAUAUCUAUAAAACUAAUAAUCGUUGUUGUAUUUUGAAAAUAUACCCGUGGAAUCUGCCCAACUGGCUGAAAAUCAAAAAUUUACUUUUGAAUUUGGCUCAGACAAUAUAAAACAGUUAAAAUAUUGAUGUGAUAACAAGUAUAUUUCAAAUCUAAUUGUUGCCGUUAAUUAAAAUCAUAAAAAUCUGUAAUACAAACUAAAAGUUUGGAAACAAAAUUCUAAAAACGAAAAAAUUUAGAAAAUUUUGGUGCUAAUGUGCUAAAAUUGGAGAAAAAUUUAAACUAAAACGCAUUACACAAGUGAGAGUGAGAGAUUGAUAGAGAGAACAAACAACGUGCCAUCAUUAUCAUCAUCGUCAUCUUUAAUAACAACAACAACAACAACAGCAGCAACAACAACAUCAUUAAUUCUAUACAAAACAACAAAUCAAUACAAUAAACAAUCACCAACAAAAACAACAACAUCAAAAACUACUACAAAUCAUGGAAGCUUAGCGAGAGUAUUAAACGAUACAAAAUCUAUAUAAAAAAAUUUUAAUCCGUAGCAGAAGAAGAAUAUUAUAAUAAUUU
Molecule: long non-coding RNA, 1299 nt
Organism: Lucilia cuprina (Australian sheep blowfly)
Lineage: Eukaryota; Metazoa; Arthropoda; Insecta; Diptera; Calliphoridae
Exons: 3
Source: RefSeq, a predicted model, not a curated record